Molecule: non-coding RNA, 103 nt
Filed under: Alicycliphilus denitrificans
Lineage: Bacteria; Pseudomonadati; Pseudomonadota; Betaproteobacteria; Burkholderiales; Comamonadaceae
Also listed under: 1 other name
Description: TPP sequence
Rfam family: TPP riboswitch aptamer (THI element)
About the family: Vitamin B(1) in its active form thiamin pyrophosphate (TPP) is an essential coenzyme that is synthesised by coupling of pyrimidine and thiazole moieties in bacteria. The previously detected thiamin-regulatory element, thi box was extended, resulting in a new, highly conserved RNA secondary structure, the THI element, which is widely distributed in eubacteria and also occurs in some archaea.
Source: RNAcentral
CGGACGAAACAGGGGUGUCCCCGCCAUGUCGGCGGGCGACUGAGAAAUACCCUUCACACCCGAUCCAGGUCAUGCUGGCGUGGGGAGUUUCCAGCACCGGUGC